GGACGCAUAGCUCAGUUGGGAGAGCACCUGCCUUACAAGCAGGGGGUCAUAGGUUCGAGCCCUAUUGUGUCCACCA
This 76-nucleotide transfer RNA is filed under the name Peptoniphilus koenoeneniae. RNAcentral describes it as "tRNA-Val". It matches the Rfam family "tRNA". From Rfam's summary of the family: Transfer RNA (tRNA) molecules are approximately 80 nucleotides in length. Their secondary structure includes four short double-helical elements and three loops (D, anti-codon, and T loops). The record is from RNAcentral. Lineage: Bacteria; Bacillati; Bacillota; Tissierellia; Tissierellales; Peptoniphilaceae. RNAcentral also lists the same sequence under 1 other name.